RNAcentral lists this ribosomal RNA (706 nucleotides) under uncultured Fibrobacter sp. RNAcentral describes it as "bacterial SSU rRNA". It matches the Rfam family "Bacterial small subunit ribosomal RNA", at positions 163 to 874 of the family's 1533-position model. The record is from RNAcentral. Lineage: Bacteria; Pseudomonadati; Fibrobacterota; Fibrobacteria; Fibrobacterales; Fibrobacteraceae.
UUAAUGCCCAGGAGAGUGGCAGUCCACAUGGACUGUUGACUAGAGAUUUAUCGGUGUGGGAUGAGCUUGCGUCCGAUUAGCUGGUUGGCGGGGUAACGGCCCACCAAGGCGACGAUCGGUAGCCGGCCUGAGAGGGUGAUCGGCCACAUUGGGACUGAGAUACGGCCCAGACUCCUACGGGAGGCAGCAGUAGGGAAUAUUGCACAAUGGGGGAAACCCUGAUGCAGCAGCGCCACGUGUGGGAAGAAGCAUUUCGGUGUGUAAACCACUGUCGUGAGGGAAUAAUGCUUGGUCUCGGCCAAGUUGAAUGUACCUCGAAAGGAAGCACCGGCAAACUUCGUGCCAGCAGCCGCGGUAAUACGAGGGGUGCAAGCGUUGUUCGGAAUCACUGGGCGUAAAGGGAGCGCAGGCGGAGAUGCAAGCAGUCUGUAUAAUACCGGGGCCCAACCCCGGACCUGCAGACUGGACUGUUUCUCUUGGAUAGUUCAGGGGCAAGCGGAAUUCCUGGUGUAGCGGUGGAAUGCGUAGAGAUCAGGAAGAACACCGAUGGCGAAGGCAGCUUGCUGGGGACUUAUCGACGCUCAUGCUCGAAAGUGCGGGUAGCAAACAGGAUUAAAUACCCUGGUAGUCCGCACCGUAAACAAUGCAUACUGGGUGUCCGGGGCUCGCCCCGGGUACCGAAGCCAACGCGUUAUGUAUGCCGCCU